Molecule: ribosomal RNA, 801 nt
Filed under: Saitozyma podzolica
Lineage: Eukaryota; Fungi; Basidiomycota; Tremellomycetes; Tremellales; Trimorphomycetaceae
Description: partial 26S ribosomal RNA
Rfam family: Eukaryotic large subunit ribosomal RNA (bases 1-602)
Source: RNAcentral
UGCGGUUUGGAACAAAAUAGCACGCGAGCGCAGCGGGAGAGCUCAAUUUGAAAGCUGGCGUCCUACGGGCGUCCGCAUUGUAAUCUAUAGAGGCGUUUUCUGUGCUGGACCGUGUCCAAGUCCCUUGAACAGGGUAUCAAAGAGGGUGACAAUCCCGUACUUGACACGACAACCAGUGCUCUGUGAUACGUCUUCUACGAGUCGAGUUGUUUGGGAAUGCAGCUCAAAAUGGGUGGUGAAUUCCAUCUAAAGCUAAUAUUGGCGAGAGACCGAUAGCGAACAAGUACCGUGAGGGAAAGAUGAAAAGCACUUUGGAAAGAGAGUUAAACAGUAUGUGAAAUUGUUGAAAGGGAAACGAUGGAGGUCAGUCGUGUCUGUGGGUUCAGCCGUCUCUGGCGGUGUACUUCCCACAGACGGGUCAACAUCAGUUUUGGCUGGCGGAUAAAGGCAGGAGGAAGGUGGCACCCCCGGGUGUGUUAUAGCCUCUUGUUGCAUACGCUGGCUGAGAUGAGGAAUGCAGCUCGCCUUUAUGGCCGGGGUUCGCCCACGUUCGAGCUUAGGAUGUUGACAUAAUGGCCUUCAACGACCGUCUUGAAACAAGGGAACAACUGCUGUUUUUUUUUUGAAGGAAAGAUUGUCUUGUUUUUAUUAUUAAAAAAAGAAACAUUUUUUUUUUAUAAAAAAAAAAUAUUUUUUUUUUUUUUAAAAAAAAAAGAUCUUUUUUUUUUUUAAAAAAGAGAGAGUCUUUUUUUUUUUGACAGAAAAGGUCUCGAUUUUGAGAGACAGAGAGAUGCUCUUUUC